This is a long non-coding RNA of Anguilla rostrata (American eel), 318 nucleotides long. RefSeq lists it as uncharacterized. The transcript is spliced from 3 exons. The record is from RefSeq and is a predicted model, not a curated record. NCBI's taxonomy places the organism in Eukaryota, Metazoa, Chordata, Actinopteri, Anguilliformes, Anguillidae.
UGUGCACAGCCCCCUGCUUCACCACCUGAACGUCACUCAUGUCCACCUGAGGGCAGAGAAAUGGCCAAUCGGGAGCUGCCAGGGCAUCUGUUCGGACGUGCGAUUGGUCCAGAGCAUUGGUACCUCCCCCCCUCCAGUAGGGCAGUUCCCAUUGCAUGUGGGCAGAGCUGUCAGACUAGGAAAACAAAGCAUCUACUAGACGGUCCUGGCACCUUACCUUCCACAGUGAGGUUGGAGGAGCUGACGUACUCAUUGGAGUCGUUGUCCUGAGAACACACAAUGGCGUACUCCCCAGAGUCGGCCAGGUCGCAGUCGUCA